Molecule: non-coding RNA, 173 nt
Filed under: uncultured Blautia sp.
Lineage: Bacteria; Bacillati; Bacillota; Clostridia; Lachnospirales; Lachnospiraceae
Source: RNAcentral
UGAUGGUCUCUGCACGCAGAAAAUGCAGAGUUAAAAGGGAAAUCGGUGGAAGUCCGAUACAGUUGCCUCUGCUGUGAUGUUGACGAAGAAACAGUUGCCAUUGAACUUACAAGAAGUUUGAGAAGGCGUUUCCGAGGGUGAGACUAAGUCAGAAUAUCUGCCAUUAUUUUAAA